UAGGGAAUCUUCCGCAAUGGACGAAAGUCUGAUGGAGCAACGCCGCGUGAGUGAAGAAGGGUUUCGGCUCGUAAAACUCUGUUGUUAAAGAAGAACAUAUCUGAGAGUAACUGUUCAGGUAUUGACGGUAUUUAACCAGAAAGCCACGGCUAACUACGUGCCAG
Molecule: ribosomal RNA, 164 nt
Filed under: uncultured bacterium
Lineage: Bacteria
Description: partial 16S ribosomal RNA
Rfam family: Bacterial small subunit ribosomal RNA
Source: RNAcentral